GUCCUGGUAGCUCAGCUGGAUAGAGCAGCCGCCUCCUAAGCGGCAGGUCGGAGGUUCGAAUCCUCUCCAGGACGCCA
This 77-nucleotide transfer RNA is filed under the name Arenicella chitinivorans. RNAcentral's name for it is "tRNA-Arg". It matches the Rfam family "tRNA". From Rfam's summary of the family: Transfer RNA (tRNA) molecules are approximately 80 nucleotides in length. Their secondary structure includes four short double-helical elements and three loops (D, anti-codon, and T loops). Lineage: Bacteria; Pseudomonadati; Pseudomonadota; Gammaproteobacteria; Arenicellales; Arenicellaceae. The record is from RNAcentral. RNAcentral also lists the same sequence under 1 other name.